CAGUAGCCACGGUAAUACGUAGGGUGCGAGCGUUAAUCGGAAUUACUGGGCGUAAAGCGUGCGCAGGCGGCUUUGCAAGACAGAUGUGAAAUCCCCGGGCUCAACCUGGGAACUGCAUUUGUGACUGCAAGGCUAGAGUACGGUAGAGGGGGAUGGAAUUCCGCGUGUAGCAGUGAAAUGCGUAGAGAUGUGGAGGAACACCGAUGGCGAAGGCAGCCCCCUGGGCCAAUACUGACGCUCAUGCACGAAAGCGUGGGGAGCAAACAGGAUUAGAUACCCCCGUAGUCCCUGUCUCUUAUAC
This 301-nucleotide ribosomal RNA is filed under the name uncultured bacterium. Its description in RNAcentral is "partial 16S ribosomal RNA". It matches the Rfam family "Bacterial small subunit ribosomal RNA", at positions 509 to 807 of the family's 1533-position model. The record is from RNAcentral.